Molecule: ribosomal RNA, 492 nt
Filed under: uncultured bacterium
Lineage: Bacteria
Description: partial 16S ribosomal RNA
Rfam family: Bacterial small subunit ribosomal RNA
Source: RNAcentral
AGUGAACGCUGGCGGUAGGCCUAACACAUGCAAGUCGAACGGCAGCACAGUAAGAGCUUGCUCUUACGGGUGGCGAGUGGCGGACGGGUGAGGAAUACAUCGGAAUCUACUUUUUCGUGGGGGAUAACGUAGGGAAACUUACGCUAAUACAGCAUACGACCUACGGGUGAAAGCAGGGGAUCUUCGGACCUUGCGCGAUUGAAUGAGCCGAUGUCGGAUUAGCUAGUUGGCGGGGUAAAGGCCCACCAAGGCGACGAUCCGUAGCUGGUCUGAGGGGAUGAUCAGCCACACUGGAACUGAGACACGGUCCAGACUCCUACGGGAGGCAGCAGUGGGGAAUAUUGGACAAAGGGCGCAAGCCUGAUCCAGCCAUACCGCGUGGGUGAAGAAGGCCUUCGGGUUGUAAAGCCCUUUUGUUGGGAAAGAAAAGCAGCAGGUUAAUACCCCGCUGUUCUGACGGUACCCAAAGAAUAAGCACCGGCUAACUUCGUG